UAGGGAAUCUUCCGCAAUGGACGCAAGUCUGACGGAGCAACGCCGCGUGAGUGAAGAAGGAUUUCGGUUCGUAAAACUCUGUUGUUAGAGAAGAACAGCGCAUAGAGUAACUGUUAUGCGUGUGACGGUAUCUAACCAGAAAGCCACGGCUAACUACGUGCCAGCAGCCGCGGUAAUACGUAGGUGGCAAGCGUUGUCCGGAUUUAUUGGGCGUAAAGCGAGCGCAGGCGGUCAAUUAAGUCUGAUGUGAAAGCACCCGGCUCAACCGGGAAGGGUCAUUGGAAACUGGUUGACUUGAGUGCAGAAGAGGAGAGUGGAAUUCCAUGUGUAGCGGUGAAAUGCGUAGAUAUAUGGAGGAACACCAGUGGCGAAGGCGACUCUCUGGUCUGUAACUGACGCUGAGGCUCGAAAGCGUGGGUAGCAAACAGG
RNAcentral lists this ribosomal RNA (429 nucleotides) under Bacteroidota bacterium. Its description in RNAcentral is "Bacteroidetes bacterium partial 16S ribosomal RNA". It matches the Rfam family "Bacterial small subunit ribosomal RNA", at positions 355 to 776 of the family's 1533-position model. Lineage: Bacteria; Pseudomonadati; Bacteroidota. The record is from RNAcentral.